RNAcentral lists this non-coding RNA (238 nucleotides) under Clostridium sp. RNAcentral describes it as "T-box sequence". It matches the Rfam family "T-box leader". Rfam says of the family: Uncharged tRNA acts as the effector for transcription antitermination of genes in the T-box leader family. Lineage: Bacteria; Bacillati; Bacillota; Clostridia; Eubacteriales; Clostridiaceae. The record is from RNAcentral.
GUAAAAACUAUGAUAGGAAGAGUAUGUAUAGGAUAUAGCCAAAGCGAGCUGAUGAUGGUGCAAGAUCAGUGUGAAGCCUUUACAGAAGAACAUCCUUGAGUUUCUAACCGAAAUUUUACGUAAAAGUAGGCUUAGAGGUUCCCAACACCUUAUAGUUGGUAUGUAGAUUUUUCUAUGUAGCUAAGAGGCCUUUUGGCAAAUUGGGUGGUACCGCGAAUAUAAGACUUUCGUCCCUUUA